GCGGGUGCUAACGUCCGUCGUGAAGAGGGAAACAACCCAGACCGCCAGCUAAGGUCCCAAAGUCAUGGUUAAGUGGGAAACGAUGUGGGAAGGCCCAGACAGCCAGGAUGUUGGCUUAGAAGCAGCCAUCAUUUAAAGAAAGCGUAAUAGCUCACUGGUCGAGUCGGCCUGCGCGGAAGAUGUAACGGGGCUAAACCAUGCACCGAAGCUGCGGCAGCGACACUAUGUGUUGUUGGGUAGGGGAGCGUUCUGUAAGCCUGUGAAGGUGUACUGUGAGGUAUGCUGGAGGUAUCAGAAGUGCGAAUGCUGACAUAAGUAACGAUAAAGCGGGUGAAAAGCCCGCUCGCCGGAAGACCAAGGGUUCCUGUCCAACGUUAAUCGGGGCAGGGUGAGUCGACCCCUAAGGCGAGGCCGAAAGGCGUAGUCGAUGGGAAACAGGUUAAUAUUCCUGUACUUGGUGUUACUGCGAAGGGGGGACGGAGAAGGCUAUGUUGGCCGGGCGACGGUUGUCCCGGUUUAAGCGUGUAGGCUGAUUUUCCAGGCAAAUCCGGAAAAUCAAGGCUGAGGCGUGAUGACGAGGCACUACGGUGCUGAAGCAACAAAUGCCCUGCUUCCAGGAAAAGCCUCUAAGCAUCAGGUAACAUCAAAUCGUACCCCAAACCGACACAGGUGGUCAGGUAGAGAAUACCAAGGCGCUUGAGAGAACUCGGGUGAAGGAACUAGGCAAAAUGGUGCCGUAACUUCGGGAGAAGGCACGCUGAUAUGUAGGUGAAGCGACUUGCUCGUGGAGCUGAAAUCAGUCGAAGAUACCAGCUGGCUGCAACUGUUUAUUAAAAACACAGCACUGUGCAAACACGAAAGUGGACGUAUACGGUGUGACGCCUGCCCGGUGCCGGAAGGUUAAUUGAUGGGGUUAGCGGUAACGCGAAGCUCUUGAUCGAAGCCCCGGUAAACGGCGGCCGUAACUAUAACGGUCCUAAGGUAGCGAAAUUCCUUGUCGGGUAAGUUCCGACCUGCACGAAUGGCGUAAUGAUGGCCAGGCUGUCUCCACCCGAGACUCAGUGAAAUUGAACUCGCUGUGAAGAUGCAGUGUACCCGCGGCAAGACGGAAAGACCCCGUGAACCUUUACUAUAGCUUGACACUGAACAUUGAGCCUUGAUGUGUAGGAUAGGUGGGAGGCUUUGAAGUGUGGACGCCAGUCUGCAUGGAGCCGACCUUGAAAUACCACCCUUUA
This 1235-nucleotide ribosomal RNA is filed under the name Escherichia coli. RNAcentral describes it as "partial 23S ribosomal RNA". It matches the Rfam family "Bacterial large subunit ribosomal RNA", at positions 991 to 2209 of the family's 2925-position model. Lineage: Bacteria; Pseudomonadati; Pseudomonadota; Gammaproteobacteria; Enterobacterales; Enterobacteriaceae. The record is from RNAcentral.